RNAcentral lists this ribosomal RNA (87 nucleotides) under Stenotrophomonas maltophilia. Lineage: Bacteria; Pseudomonadati; Pseudomonadota; Gammaproteobacteria; Lysobacterales; Lysobacteraceae. The record is from RNAcentral. RNAcentral also lists the same sequence under 1 other name.
CCGAUCCCAUCCCGAACUCGGAAGUGAAACGUAGCUGCGCCGAUGGUAGUGUGGCCUAAGCCAUGCGAGAGUAGGUCAUCGCCAGGG